Molecule: ribosomal RNA, 373 nt
Filed under: uncultured Glomeromycotina
Lineage: Eukaryota; Fungi; Glomeromycota
Description: LSU rRNA
Source: RNAcentral
UUGAAAGGGAAACGAUUGAAGUCCAGUCGGACCUGUGAGGAUCAGCCUUUUGGGUGUGAUUAUGUGGAGUGUGAGGAGUUAAACGCCUUCAUGCCUGCAUAUUCGUGCACUUUGGGUGUAUUUACCCGUGUGGUAGGUUAACAUCAAUUUCGGUGGUCAUAAAAUGGCUGGAGGAAUGUAGCUUCGAUCUUGUAUUGAAGUGUUAUAGCCUUCGGUAGAUGUGAUGAUCGGGAUUGAGGAUUGCAACGGAUACCCCUCGGGGCUACCUGUCUGAUCUCUGAUCGUUGCUCUGGUGCCGAAAGCUUGCUUACGGUUAUCAAAGUCGAUGGUUAAUAGGUUAGAACGGGUUAAAUUCGUUAAGGAUGUUGACGUA